This 253-nucleotide ribosomal RNA is filed under the name uncultured bacterium. Its description in RNAcentral is "partial 16S ribosomal RNA". It matches the Rfam family "Bacterial small subunit ribosomal RNA", at positions 524 to 776 of the family's 1533-position model. The record is from RNAcentral.
UACGUAGGGUGCAAGCGUUGUCCGGAAUUAUUGGGCGUAAAGAGCUCGUAGGCGGUUCGUCGCGUCGGCUGUGAAAACCUGAGGCUCAACCUCAGGCCUGCAGUCGAUACGGGCGGACUUGAGUACUGCAGGGGAGACUGGAAUUCCUGGUGUAGCGGUGAAAUGCGCAGAUAUCAGGAGGAACACCGGUGGCGAAGGCGGGUCUCUGGGCCGGUACCGACGCUGAGGAGCGAAAGCGUGGGGAGCGAACAGG